GGCUGCGUGUGGCCUGAGUCUGACCGUGCGCGACGUCGGAAGCCUCGGCGACGGGCGCCUGCAGAGAGGCAAUGGCGGCGAUGGCAGCUGCGGAAGGCUCCUCGAGCUCGGCGGGCUUGACUCUGGGCCGGAGCUUCUCGGACUACCAGCCCUCUGAGCCACGGCUGACGGGAUCCUCCUGAAUGAAGGGCUGAGGCUGCAAGGUCCCGCAGGAGACGCUGCUCAAACUCCAGGCGGGACUGACGCGGCCGGGGCCUGGUGGGCGGCCAGGAAGAGGCGUCCCAGGAAACCGGAGCAGGCCCCAGCCCCACUUUUCCAGCCCUGGGCAUCAGGAUGGACUCCUGCGUCAUCCCCCUGAGGCAUGGGGGCCUGCCACUGGUGCAGACCACGGACUGCUUUUACCCCUUGGUGGAAGAUCCCUACAUGAUGGGGCGCCAUAGCUAGUGCCAACGUGCUCAGUGACCUCUACGCCAUGGGCAUUACUGAGUGUGACAUGUUGAUGUUACUUAGCGUCAGCCAGAGUAUGAGUGAGGAGGAACGCAAAAAGGUAACGCCACUCAUGGUCAAAGGCUUUUGGGAUGUGGCUGAGGAAGGAGGGACAGCAGUGACCGGUGGGCAAACGGUGCUCAACCCUUGGAUUAUAAUCGGUGGAGUUGCCACUGUGGUGUGCCAGCCAAAUGAAUUCAUAAUGCCCGACAGCACAUGGUUGGGGAUGUGCUGGUGUUAACCAAACCGUUAGGAGCCCAGGUUGCUGUCAAUGCCCACCAAUGGCUGGAUAAUCCUGAAAGAUGGAAUAAAGUAAAGAUGGUGGUCUCCGGAGAACACGUGGAGCUGGCGUAUCAGGAAGCCAUGUUCAAUAUGGCUACCCUCAACAGAACUGCUGCAGGUUUAAUGCAGACAUUUAAUGUCCAUGUGGCCACGGAUAUCACAGGCUUUGGCAUUCUAGGAUACUCCCAGAACCUUGCGAAACAACAAAGAAACGAAGUGUCCUUCGUUAUUCAUAAUCUGCCAAUAAUUGCCAAGAUGGCUGCCGUCAGCAAGGCCAGUGGACGGUUUGGGCUCCUUCAAGGAAACUCAGCUGAAACCUCUGGGGAAUUACUGAUUUGUCUGCCUAGAAAACAGGCGGCUCGCUUUUGUUCCGAAAUCAAAUCCCCAAAGUACGGAGAGGGUCACCAAGCGUGGAUCGUUGGCAUUGUGGAAAAGGGAAGCCGAAUGGCCCAAAUUAUUGACAAGCCGUGAGUUAUUGAAGCCCUACCUCGUGGGGCCACAGCUCUUGCUCUUGCUCCUGACAAUUCAAAUGCCUCUUCUGAGCCUUGCUCGUCAGAUGAAAGAACAGAAGCUGUUUGGACCGUAGAGCUAUUGUACACAAUCACCGAUGGUUCUCAAGAGUGGAUUUUAAGAGAUAUCCAAAGAAGGCUGCCUGCAUAGUGGUUCCAGCUGCCCUUUCUAGGUGAUUGGAAUCAGCCCAUCAAAAGCAGCCUUUAUGUACAUUCUGAGGCCAGAGUAACAUUUUGAACUUUGUGGGGGAUGUUUGUUCAUAGCUUGGGUGGAGGAGGAGCAGAAAUACCUCUGUUUUUGCUUUCCAAAGUAAGAUGAGGCUAUUCCAGGUUGAGGGAUUUUUCUUUGCACUGGGUUGAUUAAUUUCUGCACAGGGAUUGGAUGACUUAUUAAAACCACACACAAUUGCAAAAUGAAAAAAUUUAGAUCAGAAGCAAAUGAGUUUUGGACGAAUACUGUUGAUAAAUCUAAAUUGUUAAGAGAGGUCUUAUAAGGCCACCUCAAAUUCUUUGUUAGAUUUUAACUGAGUACUGGCUCUUUCCCGCUCUGGACAAGAACUUGUCAUGACUGGGAAAGGGGGACCUGCAACCAUCUGGCUUGGUAUCUGUUAAUGAUGUCUCUCCCUCUAAACCCCAUUAAGGACAGGGAGAGGCAGACCAAGCCUCAGAGCCCAGCCUUGGUGGUUAUUAGGAGGUUAAGUCGUUUGCUGCAAAUUUCUGGUGAUUUGAUCAAUAAAGAGUAAUUUCUUCCUAAAUUAAAAAAAAAAGUAAAUAUGUUAAACAAACAAAUACUCUGGUCACUGGAAGGAUUAGUUUCAAAGUUUCAUCCAAAAAGUUUAGAAUCAGUGCCUUUAACUCACAGCUGUUUGCUUUUUUUUUUAGCUGUUGAAUAUAGCUGAGAACAUACAAUGCCUACAAUUCCUAUAGUAAGAAUAAAAUCUAUUCUCAGGAAAUCAGGGUAUAAGAUAAACCAGAAGAGAGGAAAAAAUGUGGAAAAAAGAAAAGGGAGUAUGAAAAGCAAGGAAGAAAUGGAGGACCAGAUAAAAACAUAAUAGGAUUUUUAAAAACAGCUUAGCUAUUCCUAAAUUGGACAGUGUGGCUGCCUCCUCGGCUUUUAUGGGCUCAAAAUAGGGAAGUGCAUGCUGAUUGGUUUGAGAUUAAGGCAAGCUUAAACUCGUGCUGUUGCUUUAAAGCCAUGUCUUUUUGCUUUCAAUGUAAGAAAUUAUUCAGCCAAUUAUUAAUAUAGUGAAUAUUUGUUUUAUUGAAAGAUAGAGGUAAUUUUGGAGAUGACAAAGGUAAUACUGAGAUAUAGAAGUAACUAAUUUUGUGUUUUAAAUAUUAACAUAUUCUAGUACAGGGUCUCUUAACCUCAUUACUAUUGGCACCUCGGCCUCCCAAAGUGCUAGGAUAACAGGCGUGAGCCACCUUGCCCCGCCCAAUUUUGUUGCUUUUUUAAAAAAAAAAUAGAGAUAGGGUCUUGCUCUGUCACCUGGGCUGGAAUACAGUGGUGUGAUCAUAGCUUACUGUAACCUUUAACUCCUGGGCUCAGGCAGUCCUCCAGCCUCAGGCUUCUGAGUAGUUAGAACUACAGGCAAAUGUCACCACACCUGGCUAAUUAAAGAAAAUUUUUUGAGACAGGGUCUAGUGAUGUUGCUCAGGCUGGUCUUGAACUCUUAGCCUCAAGGGAUCCUCAUCUUGGCCUCCCAAAGUGCUGGAAUUAUAGGCAUGAGCCACCAAACCUGGCUGUGAAUCUCUGUUCUAAAGGAAUGAAUAAUCUAUCUUAUAUGAAUGCUGUUUUUAAAUUGGCAUUUUUAGACAGAUUGUUUCACUCAAUUCUUAGAUUCCUGUGAAUAUUCCUUUCCUGAGAUAUGAGGAUAUUCAUUCUCAUAUCACAAGAUUCCUAAGAUAUGAUAAUCAUCUUAUCUGUAAGUCAUUUAAUGUUUAUGAACCUCAGUUUUCUUGUGCAUGAACACAGAGCUAGAAGUGUUACACCUGGAACUUUUCCCUUGGAACAAAUUAAUUCUCAUAUGAUAUAUAAUGAAAUAAUUGUAUUUGAAAAAUCAAUGGGUAUAAAAUUGUAUUUAUACAUGAUCACAGGUUUAUAAACAUUUUGUAUAAAAGGCAACAAAGGCAAGAUGACAGAAAAUAUUUGAUUUAUUUUUGUAGUCAAAUUUGUUGGCUUCAGAAUUCUGAUUUCCACUGAUGCAGUGGUCUCAACCCUAACUGUUAAUUAGACUCACCUGGGGGGCUUGAAAGUUAUUAAUGCUGGAGUCUUAUCUCCAAAGAUUUGAAUUUGAGGAAAGAAAAAGUAGAAAGGAUUACUUCUUACUUAAAAAGGAGAAUGUCUCACCAAGCACCAGUACACUGCCAUUCAUCACCUUUUCUUUCUCUUCUUCUUGUCUAAAAUGAGGUAAAGAUAAGAUUUGGGAGCUUAAAACUCGGCAAAGAAGUAAAUCCUUCUGGCAAUGUUAUAAAGUGAGUGUCUGUAUUCCUACCUUGCAGAGGGGAACCUAAAACUCAGAACGAUUUUAUAUCCUUUGUGGGCUCCUCUUCUACACCUGCUCGUGAAAUGCAAGUUUCCUGGACUGUGAACAUCAUAACUUUCAGAAAUGAGGACAUUAGUAAUUUGCUAUUACUAGAUCUUUUUAUUAAAAGCACCCUCAAUGUACAUAAUUUAAUACAAAUAUACAUCUCUUUGGCUUCUUAAGAACAAUCAGCAGAGCCAGAUGUCUUGAAGGCAGAAGUGUCCCUGUAUUUCUCUAAUAAGGACUCAGUGUUUCUUUUUUCUU
Callithrix jacchus (white-tufted-ear marmoset) is the source of this 4066-nucleotide non-coding RNA. The record is from RefSeq and is a predicted model, not a curated record. Lineage: Eukaryota; Metazoa; Chordata; Mammalia; Primates; Cebidae.